RNAcentral lists this ribosomal RNA (1878 nucleotides) under Escherichia coli. RNAcentral's name for it is "partial 23S ribosomal RNA". It matches the Rfam family "Bacterial large subunit ribosomal RNA", at positions 293 to 2167 of the family's 2925-position model. Lineage: Bacteria; Pseudomonadati; Pseudomonadota; Gammaproteobacteria; Enterobacterales; Enterobacteriaceae. The record is from RNAcentral.
CAGCCCAGAGCCUGAAUCAGUGUGUGUGUUAGUGGAAGCGUCUGGAAAGGCGCGCGAUACAGGGUGACAGCCCCGUACACAAAAAUGCACAUACUGUGAGCUCGAUGAGUAGGGCGGGACACGUGGUAUCCUGUCUGAAUAUGGGGGGACCAUCCUCCAAGGCUAAAUACUCCUGACUGACCGAUAGUGAACCAGUACCGUGAGGGAAAGGCGAAAAGAACCCCGGCGAGGGGAGUGAAAAAGAACCUGAAACCGUGUACGUACAAGCAGUGGGAGCACGCUUAGGCGUGUGACUGCGUACCUUUUGUAUAAUGGGUCAGCGACUUAUAUUCUGUAGCAAGGUUAACCGAAUAGGGGAGCCGAAGGGAAACCGAGUCUUAACUGGGCGUUAAGUUGCAGGGUAUAGACCCGAAACCCGGUGAUCUAGCCAUGGGCAGGUUGAAGGUUGGGUAACACUAACUGGAGGACCGAACCGACUAAUGUUGAAAAAUUAGCGGAUGACUUGUGGCUGGGGGUGAAAGGCCAAUCAAACCGGGAGAUAGCUGGUUCUCCCCGAAAGCUAUUUAGGUAGCGCCUCGUGAAUUCAUCUCCGGGGGUAGAGCACUGUUUCGGCAAGGGGGUCAUCCCGACUUACCAACCCGAUGCAAACUGCGAAUACCGGAGAAUGUUAUCACGGGAGACACACGGCGGGUGCUAACGUCCGUCGUGAAGAGGGAAACAACCCAGACCGCCAGCUAAGGUCCCAAAGUCAUGGUUAAGUGGGAAACGAUGUGGGAAGGCCCAGACAGCCAGGAUGUUGGCUUAGAAGCAGCCAUCAUUUAAAGAAAGCGUAAUAGCUCACUGGUCGAGUCGGCCUGCGCGGAAGAUGUAACGGGGCUAAACCAUGCACCGAAGCUGCGGCAGCGACGCUGAUGCGUUGUUGGGUAGGGGAGCGUUCUGUAAGCCUGUGAAGGUGUGCUGUGAGGCAUGCUGGAGGUAUCAGAAGUGCGAAUGCUGACAUAAGUAACGAUAAAGCGGGUGAAAAGCCCGCUCGCCGGAAGACCAAGGGUUCCUGUCCAACGUUAAUCGGGGCAGGGUGAGUCGACCCCUAAGGCGAGGCCGAAAGGCGUAGUCGAUGGGAAACAGGUUAAUAUUCCUGUACUUGGUGUUACUGCGAAGGGGGGACGGAGAAGGCUAUGUUGGCCGGGCGACGGUUGUCCCGGUUUAAGCGUGUAGGCUGGUUUUCCAGGCAAAUCCGGAAAAUCAAGGCUGAGGCGUGAUGACGAGGCACUACGGUGCUGAAGCAACAAAUGCCCUGCUUCCAGGAAAAGCCUCUAAGCAUCAGGUAACAUCAAAUCGUACCCCAAACCGACACAGGUGGUCAGGUAGAGAAUACCAAGGCGCUUGAGAGAACUCGGGUGAAGGAACUAGGCAAAAUGGUGCCGUAACUUCGGGAGAAGGCACGCUGAUAUGUAGGUGAAGCGACUUGCUCGUGGAGCUGAAAUCAGUCGAAGAUACCAGCUGGCUGCAACUGUUUAUUAAAAACACAGCACUGUGCAAACACGAAAGUGGACGUAUACGGUGUGACGCCUGCCCGGUGCCGGAAGGUUAAUUGAUGGGGUCAGCGCAAGCGAAGCUCUUGAUCGAAGCCCCGGUAAACGGCGGCCGUAACUAUAACGGUCCUAAGGUAGCGAAAUUCCUUGUCGGGUAAGUUCCGACCUGCACGAAUGGCGUAAUGAUGGCCAGGCUGUCUCCACCCGAGACUCAGUGAAAUUGAACUCGCUGUGAAGAUGCAGUGUACCCGCGGCAAGACGGAAAGACCCCGUGAACCUUUACUAUAGCUUGACACUGAACAUUGAGCCUUGAUGUGUAGGAUAGGUGGGAGGCUUUGAAGUGUGG